UCGGACGUGGUGUACGGCGCACGCCCACCAUUGGUUGCGUGGUAAUGAUUUAACCUCAUGCGGGAAGACCGGGUUCGAUUCCCGGCGUCCGAA
Molecule: non-coding RNA, 93 nt
Organism: Mycena capillaripes
Lineage: Eukaryota; Fungi; Basidiomycota; Agaricomycetes; Agaricales; Mycenaceae
Source: the annotation of a GenBank genome assembly